GAUGAAGAACGCAGCGAAAUGCGAUACUUGGUGUGAAUUGCAGAAUCCCGUGUACCAUCGAGUCUUUGAACGCAAGUUGCGCCUCAAGCCAUUAGGUUGAGGGCACGUCUGCCUGGGCGUCACAUAUCGUUGCCUGAUGCCAGUUUCCUCGUGAUGGGUGACUGUGCAGGGCGAAUGAUGGCUUCCCGUGAGCAUUGUUGCCUCAUGGUUGGUUGAAAAUUGAGUCCUUGGUAGGGAGCGCCGUGAUAGAUGGUGGUUGAGUGACGAACGAGACCCAAUCAUGUGAGACCCCUACCGAAUUUGGCCUUCAUGACCCACAUGCGUCUUUGGAACGCUCAUGACGAGACCUCAGGUCAGGCGGGGCUACCCGCUGAGUUUAAGCAUAUCAAUAAGCGGAGGA
Molecule: unclassified non-coding RNA, 400 nt
Filed under: soil metagenome
Description: partial contains 5.8S ribosomal RNA, internal transcribed spacer 2, and large subunit ribosomal RNA
Rfam family: 5.8S ribosomal RNA (bases 1-122)
Source: RNAcentral